Long non-coding RNA from Rhipicephalus microplus (southern cattle tick), 539 nucleotides. The record is from RefSeq and is a predicted model, not a curated record. Lineage: Eukaryota; Metazoa; Arthropoda; Arachnida; Ixodida; Ixodidae.
UUACGUAUUGUAGCCCUCAUUUUUUGUAUAUAAUCCCACACUGGAAUGAAUGAAUACGUGUAUCUGCACUAACUUGCGCUCUACAGUGACGCAUCUUUCUACAGCUGAAGACAACAUGAGGCAACCACUUGGAAUGAAUCUACUGGUGAUGGUUGCUACAGCAAUAGCUGUAAUAAUAAUGGCUCCAAAUGAAGCAUCUGCGCUCGGAGGAUAUGUCGGCGGAAGUGAUGCCAUCGAGUUUGGUCGUGAAGAAUGAUCCAACAUUCGUCUUGUGGGAACCACGUGCACAGGGCAUCCAGAGAGAGUGUCACGUGUUGUGCAGUAGCGGUGUGUGUGGCAAACCUGCACUCUUCAUUGGGCCACUCUGCGUCAUGCCCUAGGAAGAGAUGUCUUGGCUGCCAUGACAAACGAAUGCUCUCACCCGCGCUGGUCGAUUGCUGUUACCCGGCGUCAUGGUCGCUGCGUAGGUGCCUCGGGUCUCAAGGCCAACCCUGCGCUAUGCCGUGUUUCAUUAAAUAAAUUGUUUGUUUUGACCUGAA